RNAcentral lists this unclassified non-coding RNA (1326 nucleotides) under Hevea brasiliensis (rubber tree). Lineage: Eukaryota; Viridiplantae; Streptophyta; Magnoliopsida; Malpighiales; Euphorbiaceae. The record is from RNAcentral.
AAAAGAUAAUAGCUCCUCCAAUCUCUCUGCUCAACUUCUCUGUGUCAAAAUAUAUUUAAAUGGAAGCAUCUAUUUUGAACACAAAGUAUGAAGAUAGUGAUAAAAAGACAUUGAAAGAUUUGGCUGGUGAAAUCCUGUAUGACAUGCAGGAAAUUCAGGAAUGCACCUCUACCACUGCAGUUGUUGCAUCCAACAGAGGGGCAAGAAGUGUAAAAUCUUCCAAAUCAUGCUAUGAUACAAUUUCUGAGAAACCAUGUUGCACAAAUAGAAAGUUCAGAGCUUCAAAGCAAAUCUGGCGUCCACUUUCAGGAGGAACUAUUCCAAGCAUUCUCGGCAAAGAAUCUGUUAAUUCCACACUAGUAGCCAACUCUUCCUGUAUGGAAACCAAACCAAUGAAAUUGGAUGCAAAGGAAUUGCCAAUGUCUGAACUGUGGGGAGAGGAAACUAAACUGAACCCAUCAAAGAAAGAUCACAUGUAUAAGGAUAUCGGAGAUUUUCUUUUCAGAAUGCUAGGAGAUGGCUUUCAGCUGGAAAGAGACGAGAUUCGACAAGUUCUUGAUAAAUGUGGAUAUGACGUGCAAAAGAGCAUGGAGAAACUAUUAGAUUUGUCUGCAGAGACUUUGGAUGAAGCGAACAAAUCCCUUGGUAAAUCCACUGAAAAGAAUGUAGAUGUGCAUUCAAAUUCUGAUGAACAUUCUUAUCAAAACAAAGUGCCACCAAUGAAUUUUUCCCAUGAGGGUGAUGCCAAUGGAAUUUCAAAUAUAAAUGAGGGAGGUCUACCUGGACAAGAGGAGAGAAAUGAUAUUCAGAAGGAAGUAUUUGUUGCAUUGUUUAAUGUUGCUGACAGAUCUGAAGGGUUAUCUAGAAGAGUAGCAAGGACAGCGAGGAGGCCUAGGGUAUUAGGAGAACUGGUUGUUGAACCUCCAAAAGACUUUACCUUAGAACACAAACCUGAUUCUGUUGUUUCAAAGCAAGAUAAUGGCAAUGAUGAUGAUGAAGAGGAUAGUUACCAGAAGCUUCGUAGAGCUGUGAAGGAGUAUCGGGUCACAAUGAAGGAAUAUUAUAAAGCUGCGGUCAAUGCAUUCGCAAAGGGAGACUAUGAUCGAGCUAACAAACUUAUGGAUGAGGUAAGGCUUCUGACUGUCAUCUCAACGGAGUAUAACCAGUGGUAAUAAUUUCUUCUACUUAUAAUUAUCAUUUUUAUUUUUUCUUCGACCAUGUGACAGGCACUCAGAGUCAAAAUAUAGGUGUGGUUUAUUUAUUUUUCAUAGUUGGUAAGCUGGGUGAACCACAAGAUAAAAACCAAAAUUUGCCUUAAGGUUUAAA